GCCACAGCAGGUGCCUACAUUGCCUCCCAGACGGUGAAGAAGGUUAUCGAGAUCAACCCCUAUCUGCUAGGCACCAUGGCUGGAGGCGCAGCAGAUUGUAGUUUCUGGG
RNAcentral lists this microRNA precursor (109 nucleotides) under Procavia capensis (Cape rock hyrax). RNAcentral's name for it is "miRNA (ENSPCAG00000019032.1)". The record is from RNAcentral. Lineage: Eukaryota; Metazoa; Chordata; Mammalia; Hyracoidea; Procaviidae.